RNAcentral lists this ribosomal RNA (460 nucleotides) under uncultured bacterium. RNAcentral describes it as "partial 16S ribosomal RNA". It matches the Rfam family "Bacterial small subunit ribosomal RNA", at positions 338 to 795 of the family's 1533-position model. The record is from RNAcentral.
CCUACGGGAGGCAACAGUGAGGAAUAUUGGUCAAUGGACGAGAGUCUGAACCAGCCAAGUAGCGUGAAGGAUGACUGCCCUAUGGGUUGUAAACUUCUUUUAUAUGGGAAUAAAAUGUUCCACGUGUGGGAUUUUGUAUGUCCCAUAUGAAUAAGGAUCGGCUAACUCCGUGCCAGCAGCCGCGGUAAUACGGAGGAUCCGAGCGUUAUCCGGAUUUAUUGGGUUUAAAGGGAGCGUAGGUGGAUUGUUAAGUCAGUUGUGAAAGUUUGCGGCUCAACCGUAAAAUUGAAGUUGAAACUGGCAGUCUUGAGUACAGUAGAGGUGAGCGGAAUUCGUGGUGUAGCGGUGAAAUGCGUAGAUAUCACGAAGAACUCCGAUUGCGAAGGCAGUUCACUGGACUGCAACUGACACUGAGGCUCGAAAGUGUGGGUAUCAAACAGGAUUAGAUACCCUUGUAGUC